AUUGAGCGCUGGCGGCAGGCCUAACACAUGCAAGUCGAACGGUAACAGAAGGCAGCUUGCUGCUUUGCUGACGAGUGGCGGACGGGUGAGUAAUGUCUGGGAAACUGCCUGAUGGAGGGGGAUAACUACUGGAAACGGUAGCUAAUACCGCAUAACGUCGCAAGACCAAAGAGGGGGACCUUCGGGCCUCUUUCCAUCGGAUGUGCCCAGAUGGGGUUAGCUAGUAGGUGGGGUAACGGCUCACCUAGGCGACGAUCCCUAGCUGGUCUGAGAGGAUGACCAGCCACACUGGAACUGAGACACGGUCCAGACUCCUACGGGAGGCAGCAGUGGGGAAUAUUGCACAAUGGGCGCAAGCCUGAUGCAGCCAUGCCGCGUGUAUGAAGAAGGCCUUCGGGUUGUAAAGUACUUUCAGCGGGGAGGAAGGGAGUAAAGUUAAUACCUUUGCUCAUUGACGUUACCCGCAGAAGAAGCACCGGCUAACUCCGUG
Molecule: ribosomal RNA, 490 nt
Filed under: uncultured bacterium
Lineage: Bacteria
Description: partial 16S ribosomal RNA
Rfam family: Bacterial small subunit ribosomal RNA
Source: RNAcentral